This 292-nucleotide ribosomal RNA is filed under the name uncultured bacterium. RNAcentral describes it as "partial 16S ribosomal RNA". It matches the Rfam family "Bacterial small subunit ribosomal RNA", at positions 505 to 796 of the family's 1533-position model. The record is from RNAcentral.
GUGUCAGCAGCCGCGGUAAUACGUAGGUGGCAAGCGUUGUCCGGAUUUAUUGGGCGUAAAGGGCGCGCAGGCGGUUCGUUAGGUCCGAGGUGAAAUCUCCCGGCUCAACUGGGAGGGGUCUUCGGAUACCGGCGGGCUUGAGGUGAGCAGAGGUGAGCGGAAUUCUGGGUGUAGUGGUGAAAUGCGUAGAUAUCCAGAGGAACACCAGUGGCGAAGGCGGCUCACUGGGCUCCACCUGACGCUGAGGCGCGAAAGCGUGGGGAGCGAACCGGAUUAGAAACCCGCGUAGUCC